This 744-nucleotide ribosomal RNA is filed under the name uncultured bacterium. Its description in RNAcentral is "bacterial SSU rRNA". It matches the Rfam family "Bacterial small subunit ribosomal RNA", at positions 73 to 831 of the family's 1533-position model. The record is from RNAcentral.
GGAGAGCUUGCUCUCUGGAUCAGUGGCGAACGGGUGAGUAACACGUGAGCAAUCUGCCCCUGACUCUGGGAUAACAGUUGGAAACAGCUGCUAAUACCGGAUAUGAGCUGCGACCGCAUGGUCGGCAGUUGGAAAGAAUUUCGGUCAGGGAUGAGCUCGCGGCCUAUCAGCUUGUUGGUGAGGUAAUGGCUCACCAAGGCGUCGACGGGUAGCCGGCCUGAGAGGGUGACCGGCCACACUGGGACUGAGACACGGCCCAGACUCCUACGGGAGGCAGCAGUGGGGAAUAUUGCACAAUGGGCGCAAGCCUGAUGCAGCAACGCCGCGUGAGGGACGACGGCCUUCGGGUUGUAAACCUCUUUUAGCAGGGAAGAAGCGAAAGUGACGGUACCUGCAGAAAAAGCACCGGCUAACUACGUGCCAGCAGCCGCGGUAAUACGUAGGGUGCAAGCGUUAUCCGGAAUUAUUGGGCGUAAAGAGCUCGUAGGCGGUUUGUCGCGUCUGCUGUGAAACCCCGAGGCUCAACCUCGGGCCUGCAGUGGGUACGGGCAGACUAGAGUGCGGUAGGGGAGAUUGGAAUUCCUGGUGUAGCGGUGGAAUGCGCAGAUAUCAGGAGGAACACCGAUGGCGAAGGCAGAUCUCUGGGCCGUAACUGACGCUGAGGAGCGAAAGGGUGGGGAGCAAACAGGCUUAGAUACCCUGGUAGUCCACCCCGUAAACGUUGGGAACUAGUUGUGGGGGCCA